UUUCGACCGGAAAUUAAACCGUAACCAUAUUUAUUCGGUUUCUAAAAUCAAAAAUCAAAACCAAACCAAACACCGUUGGUUUGGUUUCGGUUUUUAAUUUCGGUUUCGGUUUAUAAUGUUGCGGUUUCGGUUUUAAAAUCAAAUUAAAUUAUAUACUCAUAAACUUUUAACCAUAAAAUUGCCUGAGAUAAAGUUUUUAAUUACACCAGUAACAUUUUAGAGCAAGUAAUAAGUGAACCCUUGCUUUCCAUACAGAAACUGCAGUAGGAAACUGCAAUGACAACAUCAG
Molecule: long non-coding RNA, 289 nt
Filed under: Daucus carota (carrot)
Lineage: Eukaryota; Viridiplantae; Streptophyta; Magnoliopsida; Apiales; Apiaceae
Description: long non-coding RNA (DCAR_LNC002733)
Source: RNAcentral